This 463-nucleotide ribosomal RNA is filed under the name uncultured bacterium. RNAcentral describes it as "partial 16S ribosomal RNA". It matches the Rfam family "Bacterial small subunit ribosomal RNA", at positions 28 to 507 of the family's 1533-position model. The record is from RNAcentral.
GAUGAACGCUGACAGAAUGCUUAACACAUGCAAGUCUUUUGCGAAGCUGUGCUUGCACAGCCUAGCCAAGGCGGACGGGUGAGUAACGCGUAAGGAACUUGCCCUGCAGUCAGGGAUAACAGACGGAAACGACUGAUAAGACCUGUUAAAGUCAGUCGGACUCAUUUCCAGCCUUAUGAAAAGAGAUGCUGCAGGAGAGCCUUGCGUCCUAUUAGCUUGUUGUUGGGGUAACGGCCCAACAAGGCGAUGAUAGGUAGCCGGCCUGAGAGGGUGGACGGCCACAAGGGGACUGAGAUACGGACCUUACUCCUACGGGAGGCAGCAGUGGGGAAUAUUGGACAAUGGGGGCAAACCUGAUCCAGCAAUUCUGUGUGCACGAUGAAGGUUUUCGGAUUGUAAAGUGCUUUCAGCAGGGAAGAAAAAAAUGACGGUACCUGCAGAAGAAGCGACGGCUAAAUACGUG